CCUUUGACGUUAGCGGCGGACGGGUGAGUAACACGUGGGUAACCUACCUAUAAGACUGGGAUAACUUCGGGAAACCGGAGCUAAUACCGGAUAAUAUUUCGAACCGCAUGGUUCGAUAGUGAAAGGUGGUUUUGCUAUCACUUAUAGAUGGACCCGCGCCGUAUUAGCUAGUUGGUAAGGUAACGGCUUACCAAGGCGACGAUACGUAGCCGACCUGAGAGGGUGAUCGGUCACACUGGAACUGAGACACGGUCCAGACUCCUACGGGAGGGCAGCAGCA
This 280-nucleotide ribosomal RNA is filed under the name uncultured Staphylococcus sp. RNAcentral's name for it is "partial 16S ribosomal RNA". It matches the Rfam family "Bacterial small subunit ribosomal RNA", at positions 83 to 355 of the family's 1533-position model. The record is from RNAcentral. Lineage: Bacteria; Bacillati; Bacillota; Bacilli; Caryophanales; Staphylococcaceae.